GCUCCCGUAGCUCAGAGUGGUAGAGCACCUGAUUUGUAAUCAGGAGGUCACAGGUUCAAGUCCUGUCAGGAGCA
RNAcentral lists this transfer RNA (74 nucleotides) under Lactobacillus phage 3-521. It matches the Rfam family "tRNA". Rfam says of the family: Transfer RNA (tRNA) molecules are approximately 80 nucleotides in length. Lineage: Duplodnaviria; Heunggongvirae; Uroviricota; Caudoviricetes; Herelleviridae. The record is from Rfam by way of RNAcentral.